This is a long non-coding RNA of Mastomys coucha (southern multimammate mouse), 495 nucleotides long. RefSeq lists it as uncharacterized. The record is from RefSeq and is a predicted model, not a curated record. Lineage: Eukaryota; Metazoa; Chordata; Mammalia; Rodentia; Muridae. The transcript is spliced from 4 exons.
AAGCAGCAUAGUCAGAUGGAGUUCUAAGCAGUGUCAGGGUCACUUACUAGAAUCUGCAUGGAGUAGCUGUGGCAGAAGAAGAAACAAAAUGGAGAAACGCUUGAGUGGCUUGUCCUGUGUCAUUUCACCAGACGGUGCAUGAACUGAGAUUCAAAUAUCAAGAUGUAGAACUCUCCGCUCCUCCUCCAGUACCAUGUCUGCCUGCAUGCUGCCAUGCUUCCCACCAUGACGAUAAUGAGCAAAACUGUAAUCCAGCUCCAAUUUCUGCUGGAUGCUAUGAAGGCCUGAUUUGAUGUUAUCUCUGUUCCUAUUUCUUCUUUGAUUGAAAGACUUACAAGAAGGGACAUGCUGCUCUGCCUGGGACCUUCUCUAUCAGGAACUCCAACUGACAGCCCUCCCAAGGCUUCGUUAGCCUAUUACUGCUAGAUGUUCAGAACACCCAAAUGGAUGAUGUUUUACUGUAUACUUAGUAAAAUCACUCAGGUAAAGUCAAAA